Molecule: ribosomal RNA, 490 nt
Filed under: Streptococcus parasanguinis
Lineage: Bacteria; Bacillati; Bacillota; Bacilli; Lactobacillales; Streptococcaceae
Description: bacterial SSU rRNA
Rfam family: Bacterial small subunit ribosomal RNA
Source: RNAcentral
GACGAACGCUGGCGGCGUGCCUAAUACAUGCAAGUAGAACGCUGAAGCUUGGUGCUUGCACCGAGCGGAUGAGUUGCGAACGGGUGAGUAACGCGUAGGUAACCUGCCUCUUAGCGGGGGAUAACUAUUGGAAACGAUAGCUAAUACCGCAUAAAAGUCGACAUCGCAUGAUGUUGACUUGAAAGGUGCAAUUGCAUCACUAAGAGAUGGACCUGCGUUGUAUUAGCUAGUUGGUGAGGUAACGGCUCACCAAGGCGACGAUACAUAGCCGACCUGAGAGGGUGAUCGGCCACACUGGGACUGAGACACGGCCCAGACUCCUACGGGAGGCAGCAGUAGGGAAUCUUCGGCAAUGGGGGCAACCCUGACCGAGCAACGCCGCGUGAGUGAAGAAGGUUUUCGGAUCGUAAAGCUCUGUUGUAAGAGAAGAACGAGUGUGAGAGUGGAAAGUUCACACUGUGACGGUAACUUACCAGAAAGGGACGGCUAA